RNAcentral lists this ribosomal RNA (613 nucleotides) under uncultured Alphaproteobacteria bacterium. Its description in RNAcentral is "SSU rRNA". It matches the Rfam family "Bacterial small subunit ribosomal RNA", at positions 285 to 915 of the family's 1533-position model. The record is from RNAcentral. Lineage: Bacteria; Pseudomonadati; Pseudomonadota; Alphaproteobacteria.
AGCUGGUCUGAGAGGAUGAUCAGCCACACUGGGACUGAGACACGGGCCCAGACUCCUACGGGAGGCAGCAGUGGGGAAUAUUGGACAAUGGGCGCAAGCCUGAUCCAGCCAUGCCGCGUGAGUGAUGAAGGCCCUAGGGUUGUAAAGCUCUUUCAGUGGGGAAGAUAAUGACGGUACCCACAGAAGAAGCCCCGGCUAACUUCGUGCCAGCAGCCGCGGUAAUACGAAGGGGGCUAGCGUUGUUCGGAUUUACUGGGCGUAAAGCGCACGUAGGCGGAUCGUUAAGUCGGGGGUGAAAUCCUGGGGCUCAACCCCAGAACUGCCUUCGAUACCGGCGAUCUCGAGUCCGGAAGAGGUGAGUGGAACUCCUAGUGUAGAGGUGGAAUUCGUAGAUAUUAGGAAGAACACCAGUGGCGAAGGCGGCUCACUGGUCCGGUACUGACGCUGAUGUGCGAAAGCGUGGGGAGCAAACAGGAUUAGAUACCCUGGUAGUCCACGCCGUAAACUAUGAGAGCUAGCCGUUGGAGGGUUUACCCUUCAGUGGCGCAGCUAACGCAUUAAGCUCUCCGCCUGGGGAGUACGGUCGCAAGAUUAAAACUCAAAGGAAUUGACG